UGGGGAAUUUUGGACAAUGGGCGCAAGCCUGAUCCAGCCAUGCCGCGUGAGUGAAGAAGGCCUUCGGGUUGUAAAGCUCUUUCGGACGGAAAGAAAUCGCGCAGGCUAAUACCCUGCGCGGAUGACGGUACCGUCAUAAGAAGCACCGGCUAACUACGUGCCAGCAGCCGCGGUAAUACGUAGGGUGCGAGCGUUAAUCGGAAUUACUGGGCGUAAAGCGUGCGCAGGCGGUUGAUUAAGACAGGCGUGAAAUCCCCGGGCUUAACCUGGGAACUGCGCUUGUGACUGGUCAGCUAGAGUACGGCAGAGGGGGGUGGAAUUCCACGUGUAGCAGUGAAAUGCGUAGAGAUGUGGAGGAACACCGAUGGCGAAGGCAGCCCCCUGGGCCGAUACUGACGCUCAUGCACGAAAGCGUGGGUAGCAAACA
This 427-nucleotide ribosomal RNA is filed under the name uncultured bacterium. Its description in RNAcentral is "bacterial SSU rRNA". It matches the Rfam family "Bacterial small subunit ribosomal RNA", at positions 355 to 774 of the family's 1533-position model. The record is from RNAcentral.